Molecule: ribosomal RNA, 253 nt
Filed under: uncultured bacterium
Lineage: Bacteria
Description: partial 16S ribosomal RNA
Rfam family: Bacterial small subunit ribosomal RNA
Source: RNAcentral
UACGUAGGGUGCGAGCGUUAAUCGGAAUUACUGGGCGUAAAGUGUGCGCAGGUGGCCGCGCAAGUCGAGUGUGAAAUCCCCGAGCUUAACUUGGGAAUUGCGCUCGGAACUACGUGGCUCGAGUGUGGCAGAGGAAGGUGGAAUUCCACGUGUAGCGGUGAAAUGCGUAGAUAUCGUGAGGAACACCAGAGGCGAAGGCGGCUACCUGGACAAUUGCUGACGCUCAGGCACGAAAGCGUGGGGAGCAAAAGGG